This 334-nucleotide ribosomal RNA is filed under the name uncultured soil bacterium. Its description in RNAcentral is "bacterial SSU rRNA". It matches the Rfam family "Bacterial small subunit ribosomal RNA", at positions 26 to 363 of the family's 1533-position model. The record is from RNAcentral.
AGAUUGAACGCUGGCGGCAGGCCUAACACAUGCAAGUCGAGCGGUAGAGAGGUGCUUGCAUCUCUUGAGAGCGGCGGACGGGUGAGUAAUGCCUAGGAAUCUGCCUAGUGGUGGGGGAUAACGUUCGGAAACGGACGCUAAUACCGCAUACGUCCUACGGGAGAAAGCGGGGGACCUUCGGGCCUCGCGCCAUUAGAUGAGCCUAGGUCGGAUUAGCUAGUUGGUGAGGUAAUGGCUCACCAAGGCGACGAUCCGUAACUGGUCUGAGAGGAUGAUCAGUCACACUGGAACUGAGACACGUCCAGACUCCUACGGGAGCAGCGAGUGGGGAAUA